CGCUCUGGCGCCCUCUGCUGGCAGCAAGGAGAGCUGCGGCAUGCGAAUGGCCUGGGCUGCUUUUUCUCCCUCUCUGGGAAUCCGUUUCUCCGCCUCUAGGAGGCUGUCCAUUCUUCAUUGUCCUUACCCCCACUCUCCUUUGGAAUUCAGAUGCUGUGCUGGGUGCCAGAGCACAAAGAUGAGCGAGGGUGCCUGCAUUUGUGACACAGUCCGAAAGACAGGUAAGUUAUUUCUAUCCCUUCGCCCACCCUUUCAGAAGGAAGAAUGCAAACACAUGGUUUGCUCUUACUGGGUACAAAAUCCUUAAUCAAUACUUAGAUCAUUUUGAAAGAGCAUUUUAUGAAAAAUAGUGAAUGUCUUCAUUAAAUGCAUUCAGAAUAGGAAGACAUUUAUUAAAACAUAUUCAAGGAAGAGUUAACUUUCCAGACAAUCCAUUUAAAACUGCCGAAGAAGGAGUUCUUGUGGUGGCGCAGUGGAAAUGAAUCCAACUAGAAACCAAGAGGCUGCGGGUUCGAUCCGGUGUUGCUGAGCUGUGGUAUAGUUUGCAGGUGUGGCUCGGAGCUGGCUUUGCUGUGACUCUGGCAUAGGCUGGCAGCUGUAGCUUCGAUUAGACCCAUAGUGCAGCCCUUAAAAAAGCAAAAUACAAAACAAAACAAAAGCCAAAAAAAAAAAAAAAAAACUGCAGAAGGAGACUUUCAGGCUGCUAGAGUACUUGCGUAUUUAGAUCUCAAGAGUGUGUCUGGAUCACAGAAGGGGUAACCCCACUAAACCUGUGGUGUUCAGGGGUCCAGUACUGCUCCAGCUGCUUCCUGUAAUAUACAUCUUCAUAAAUCACUUUGCAGCCAGAGGAAGAUGAUCAUAAACAUGCCCAAGAGAAACCAUUACAGGGACUAGGAAGGAGUUCCUACUGUGGCUCAGUGGGUCAAGGACCCAACGUUGUCUCUAUGAGGAUGUGGGUUCAAUUCCUAGCCUGGCAUAGUGGGUUAAGGAUCUGGUGUUGCCUUAAGCUGCAGGUACGUAGCAGAUGCAGUCCAGAUCUGGUGUUGCUGUGGCUGUGGCCUAGGACCCCUAGUGCAGUAAAUGCCAUAUGCCGUGGGUGUGGUUGUAAAAAGAAAAAAUAUUGUAAUUAAAAUACAAAGGGACUGAUGUAUUUGGCUUGAAAAAGACUAAGCCCAACAGUGAGAAUUCUUUUCUUCUUUUUUUUUUUUUUUUGUGUGUGUGUGUUUUUGCUAUUUCUUGGGCCACUCCCAUAGCAUAUGGAGGUUCCCAGGGUAGGGGUCUAAUUGGAGCUGUAGCUGCCAGCCUAC
Molecule: long non-coding RNA, 1307 nt
Filed under: Sus scrofa (pig)
Lineage: Eukaryota; Metazoa; Chordata; Mammalia; Artiodactyla; Suidae
Description: lncRNA (ENSSSCG00030072310.1)
Source: RNAcentral